CGGAGGGUGCGAGCGUUAAUCGGAAUUACUGGGCGUAAAGCGCGCGUAGGCGGUUUGUUAAGUCAGCUGUGAAAGCCCUGGGCUCAACCUGGGAAUGGCAGUUGAUACUGGCGAGCUUGAGUGUGGUAGAGGGGUGUGGAAUUUCCGGUGUAGCAGUGAAAUGCGUAGAGAUCGGAAGGAACACCAGUGGCGAAGGCGGCACCCUGGACCAACACUGACGCUGAGGUGCGAAAGCGUGGGGAGCAAACAGGA
This 252-nucleotide ribosomal RNA is filed under the name uncultured Methylocaldum sp. RNAcentral describes it as "partial 16S ribosomal RNA". It matches the Rfam family "Bacterial small subunit ribosomal RNA", at positions 526 to 777 of the family's 1533-position model. The record is from RNAcentral. Lineage: Bacteria; Pseudomonadati; Pseudomonadota; Gammaproteobacteria; Methylococcales; Methylococcaceae.